This 1133-nucleotide ribosomal RNA is filed under the name uncultured Chloroflexota bacterium. RNAcentral's name for it is "bacterial SSU rRNA". It matches the Rfam family "Bacterial small subunit ribosomal RNA", at positions 338 to 1501 of the family's 1533-position model. The record is from RNAcentral. Lineage: Bacteria; Bacillati; Chloroflexota.
CCUACGGGAGGCAGCAGUAAGGAAUAUUGCACAAUGGGGGAAACCCUGAUGCAGCAACGCCGCGUGAGCGAAGAAGGCCUUCGGGUCGUAAAGCUCUUUUCUAAGGGAUGAGGAAGGACAGUACCUUAGGAACAAGUCUCGGCUAACUACGUGCCAGCAGCCGCGGUAAAACGUAGGAGGCGAGCGUUAUCCGGAUUUACUAGGCGUAAAGGGCAAGUAGGCGGUAGUAAAAGUUGGGCGUGACAGAUCUCGGCUUAACUGAGAAAGGUCGCACAAUACUGGACUACUAGAGGGCAGGAGAGGGAGGCGGAACUCCUAGUGUAGCGGUGGAAUGCUCAGAUACUAGGAAGAACACCAGUGGCGAAGGCGGCCUCCUGGACUGUACCUGACGCUGAGAGGCGAAAGCUAGGGUAGCAAACGGGCUUAGAUACCCCGGUAGUCCUAGCUGUAAACGGUGGAUACUAGGUAUUGGGGGCAACAGACCCUCAGUGCCGAAGCAAACGCGUUAAGUAUCCCGCCUGGGGACUACGGCCGCAAGGUUAAAACUCAAAGGAAUUGACGGGGACCCGCACAAGCAGCGGAGCGUGUGGUUUAAUUCGAUGUAACACGAAGAACCUUACCUGGGUUUGACAUGUACGUAGUAGGGAGCCGAAAGGUGACCGACCUUCGGGAGCGUACACAGGUGCUGCAUGGCUGUCGUCAGCUCGUGCCGUGAGGUGUUGGGUUAAGUCCUACAACGAGCGCAACCCCUGUUGCCAGUUACAAGUGUCUGGCGAGACUGCCGGCAUAUAACCGGAGGAAGGUGGGGAUGACGUCAAGUCAGCAUGGCCUUUAUAUCCAGGGCUACACACACGCUACAAUGGUCCGGUACAGAGGGCAGCGAAACCGCGAGGUGAAGCAAAUCCCCCAAAGCCGAUCUCAGUUCAGAUUGCAGGCUGCAACUCGCCUGCAUGAAGUUGGAGUUGCUAGUAACCGCAGGUCAGCAAUACUGCGGUGAAUACGUUCCCGGGUCUUGUACACACCGCCCGUCACGUCAUGGAAGCUGGUAAUACCUAAAGUCGGUGAGCUAACCGCAAGGGGGCAACUGCCUAAGGUAGGACUAGUGACUGGGACGAAGUCGUAACAAGGUAACC